AGGGCGUAGCGUAGUUUGGUGGUGCACUUUCAUGGCAUGCAAGGGGUCAGCGGUUCGAUCCCGCUUAGCUCCACCA
RNAcentral lists this transfer RNA (76 nucleotides) under Gammaproteobacteria bacterium ESL0073. RNAcentral describes it as "tRNA-Ala". The record is from RNAcentral. Lineage: Bacteria; Pseudomonadati; Pseudomonadota; Gammaproteobacteria.